Molecule: ribosomal RNA, 242 nt
Filed under: uncultured bacterium
Lineage: Bacteria
Description: partial 16S ribosomal RNA
Rfam family: Bacterial small subunit ribosomal RNA
Source: RNAcentral
GUAACACGUGGGUGACCUACCUUCGAAUGGGGGAUAACGUCCCGAAAGGGACGCUAAUACCGCAUAACAUCCCGUCCUUGAAUGGAUGGAGAUCAAAGCCGGGGAUCGCAAGACCUGGCGUUUGAAGAGGGGCCCGCGUCCGAUUAGCUAGUUGGUGGGGUAACGGCUCACCAAGGCAACGAUCGGUAACCGGCCUGAGAGGGCGGACGGUCACACUGGGACUGAGACACGGCCCAGACUCC